GAUGGACAAAGACUGUGGGAGUGGCAGCUGCUCUCUGUUUUGGCGCAAGCCUCCUUCCAGAGCAUCUUGCAAAAACAACGAAAUCUGGAAAUCUGUUUCAGUCUAGCCACAGCAGAGGAUGCUUCAUUUGGCAGGUGCUGUGCCACUGAGUUGGUAGCUCCAGCCCCUGAGGAUGAUCCAUUUGGACUGUGUGGACUCUCGGCGGGAGAAUAAGUGUAGGCUGCUUGUACCAUGCAACCCAAGGCCUAGCGGCUUGGCACAACCAAGCUGCUGAAGUCCAGGGGGAUGACAUCCACUGCUGCACAUGACGGGCUGCUGUCUCUGCUGAAGCUCAGGACUUGCCCAAGUAGUGGAAAAGGCAAACUCUGGAAGCCAGAGAACAAGCAGCUCUCCACGGAUUUAAAG
Long non-coding RNA from Cavia porcellus (domestic guinea pig), 405 nucleotides. RefSeq lists it as uncharacterized. NCBI's taxonomy places the organism in Eukaryota, Metazoa, Chordata, Mammalia, Rodentia, Caviidae. The record is from RefSeq and is a predicted model, not a curated record. The transcript is spliced from 3 exons.